AUGGAGGAGAUGGAAGAUUUGUCUGAUAAUUCUAUUUCUAGAUCUAGCCACAGCCAGAAUGGCAUGACCAUGGAGGCCGUAGAGUAUAGAGAAGAUGUAGGGAUGCCUGAGGAGAUACGCAUACUUGUAGAGGAGUUUGAGGCGGAAUCCCUCGAGAUGCGAAUGAAGAUCCAUAGGCUCCCUGCGAGCUUGGCUGAUAUGGGAGAUCAGUUCGUCAUCCCGAUGGCACUGGCCAUUGGCCCUUACCACCACGGCUUGCCCCGCCUCCAGGGGAUGGAGAAGGUGAAGCGCGUGGCUGCCUACACCUUCACCAGGGACUCAGGCCAUUCAUAUGAGGAGAUGUAUGGGCGGGUCCUCGCCGUCGCGGAUCAGGCCCGCCGACUAUAUGCCGCCGCUGCGGUGUCAGGUAGCCCACAAGAGUUUGCAGAUAUGAUGUUUCACGAUGCCUGCUUCUUGCUGCAGUAUAUGAAAUUGUGUUCACUCAGCGAAGAAGAAAAAGAGUAUGAGACCUAUCUGUCGCCGCUGGAACGAUUCUUCCUCUCCAACAAAGCUUGCAUUGAUAAUGACAUCAUGCUGCUGGAAAAUCAGCUCCCCUGGUUGGUCAUUGAAGCUCUGAUGACCGCCACUGAAGUAGACGUGGACGCGUUCAUUGGAAAUAUGGGGAAUUCAAUGGGCGUCAAGUCUUCGUCUUCCAAUGCCUUUGGUUACAUCAACAUGGCGCCAUCAGACCGACCACCACACAUUCUCGGCCUCCUCCUACUGCACAAACAAGGACAGUUGAUCAACCAACUGCCUGGACAGUUGGCAGUAUCGGCAACUGUUAGCGCCGUGGAACUUGAAGGAAUCGGCAUCAAACUAGAACAUAGUGAAACUGACAAGUUUACUGACAUGGGAGUCAAGAGAGGAGCCUUUUCCUACAAGAUGUUCAUGUCGCCACUAAAUCUGGACCGCACAAGGGCAACCUGGCUCACCAAUAUGGUGGCUUUUGAGGUAUGCACGGCCUUACCUGGCUCCAAGAAUACUGAGGAUACUUACAUGUGCUCCUACAUCGCCAUCCUCGCGAUGCUCAUGCAUCGGGAGGAGGACGUGCACAAGCUGCGAUCGGAGGGUUUCAUACAUGGAGAGCUAUCCGACAAGCAAAUUCUCCAAUUCUUCAACCAACUUGCCCAGCAAAUGACUCCUGGUCGCCGCUACUUCGAAAUCUUAAUCGAUAUUGAACAUUGUAAGUUUAAUAGGCGGUUACGGAUUAUGGUGCACAAGUUUGUUUCUAACAAUGCUAAAGCCAUCGCCGCCGUGCUCUCCAUCAUUGGUGUUCUUGUGGGGAUCUUCAAGGCGCUCUAUUCUCUCAAGCAACACUAG
This 1359-nucleotide ribosomal RNA is filed under the name Triticum aestivum (bread wheat). Its description in RNAcentral is "partial small subunit ribosomal RNA". The record is from RNAcentral. Lineage: Eukaryota; Viridiplantae; Streptophyta; Magnoliopsida; Poales; Poaceae.